AUGUCAUCCAACAACUUCAUCGGUCAAAUUCCAAGUUCUCUUGGUAGGCUUGGGAUGUUGAGUUAUCUAAACCUUCAGACAAACAAGCUCGAGACCAAGGAUAGCGAAAGCUGGGAAUUCAUAGGGGCCUUAAGCAACUGUAGUUACCUGCAGACUCUCGGACUAGGUGAAAAUAGGUUACAAGGAGCUAUACCAACUUCUAUUGGUAAGAUGUCACCCGAACUUCAACUGCUAGGGCUGGAAGCAAACGAACUGUCAGGUGCCUUAACAUAUCUAGAUUUAUCUAACAACAUGCUCGAGGGCCCGAUUGAAGGGUGGGUUGGAAAGCUGAAACGUCUAAACGUUAUAGCUCUUGGCGGGAAUAGUUUCACUGGCCCAAUGCCUCCUCUAUUGGUAGUCUUACUAAGUUAG
This 411-nucleotide ribosomal RNA is filed under the name Triticum aestivum (bread wheat). Its description in RNAcentral is "partial small subunit ribosomal RNA". The record is from RNAcentral. Lineage: Eukaryota; Viridiplantae; Streptophyta; Magnoliopsida; Poales; Poaceae.